CUGAUCCUGAAUCAUGCCGAGAACAUCAGCUGAAAGUGAAGUUGCUCCAGACAGAGCUGAAGAAGCUGGCAGAAAGUCUAGAGGAGCUGAGGGAACAUUGUCCUGGUAGUCGCUGCAGUGCACCUGUGGAUCUGAUGCUGGGACAUCUGUGGAGGUGUUGGGCUGUGCUGAAGAACAGAGUGGAAGCACUUGAAGCCAGCACAUCCCAUAAAGAAGCAGAGUGGAGAGAUUUCAUGAUUCGGCUUAAUAAGUCAAAAGAAGGUCUUGACAGACUUCAGACUGAUCUCCCAGACUCGUCACUGCUGACGGGAUC
Danio aesculapii is the source of this 313-nucleotide long non-coding RNA. RefSeq lists it as uncharacterized. The transcript is spliced from 3 exons. Lineage: Eukaryota; Metazoa; Chordata; Actinopteri; Cypriniformes; Danionidae. The record is from RefSeq and is a predicted model, not a curated record.